Molecule: long non-coding RNA, 570 nt
Filed under: Solanum tuberosum (potato)
Lineage: Eukaryota; Viridiplantae; Streptophyta; Magnoliopsida; Solanales; Solanaceae
Description: long non-coding RNA (STUB_LNC007754)
Source: RNAcentral
CGGAGUAGCAAGAGAGUAAUCACAUUAAUCAAAUUCAAGAACAACAAUCUCAAAUCCAAACACAAGAUUCAUGAAAUAUAAUGAAGCCUCGCCAGUCCCUAAAACUGUUCUUAACUACAACAAUAUUAUCUACAGAUUUCAAUCUAUCCCUAAAUUGUCUUACUUUUAGUACUUCUCCACACAUUUUGUCAGUCACUAUAAUCCAUUUUUUCACCUUCUAGAGUACUCCAUCGAUCCCAGUUUACCUGACAUAGUUUGAAAUGUUCGUUCAUUCAAAUUUUAUACCAAUCAAAAGAUUAAAAUAAAUCAAAUUCGCUAAAACUAUUUUGAUUUUAAACUCUGAUCAGAAAUUUUCUUAAUCAAACAAGUAUCACUUUUAUCAUUAUUUAAAUUUCCUUCUACUAUCACUAAUAUCAUACACAUAAAUCAAAAUUGGAAGGAAGGAGAAACAAAUCACAGUUAACACCUGUAUUAACGUUAAUUUAAGAAAUUAUGGACCAAUAGCAAUAGCAUUUCGCCAUUGAUGGAAGAAAAAUAAUCGUACCUCGAAGUUCCCGCCGUCGACGACGC